RNAcentral lists this unclassified non-coding RNA (274 nucleotides) under Hevea brasiliensis (rubber tree). The record is from RNAcentral. Lineage: Eukaryota; Viridiplantae; Streptophyta; Magnoliopsida; Malpighiales; Euphorbiaceae.
GACUGCACAGGCUAUGCAGAACAUGUGCAUAAGGGGAUGAGAGCCUGUGCAGUUCUGCAUAAGUGGCAUAAAGGGCUGCACAGGCUAUGCAAAAUAUGUGCAUAAGGGAAUUCACAGCCUGUGCAGUAUAUUCAAAGGCUGCUGCAUGAUGAGUAGCAAGGAAAAAAUGUGCAACCACCAGUAGAUGCAUGCAAAAAUAUACAAUGUAUGGGCAAUUAUGCACAAAAGGGCAAUAAAUGCAAUGAAAAUGAAAGAAAACUAAUGUAAUAGCUAU